RNAcentral lists this ribosomal RNA (380 nucleotides) under uncultured eukaryote. RNAcentral's name for it is "partial 18S ribosomal RNA". It matches the Rfam family "Eukaryotic small subunit ribosomal RNA", at positions 592 to 976 of the family's 1831-position model. The record is from RNAcentral.
CAAUAGCGUAUAUUAAAGUUGUUGCGGUUAAAAAGCUCGUAGUUGGAGUUCUGCCAGGUGCCGCCUGUCCGCCCCAGUGGUGAGUACGUGGCGCGCAUUUGGCCCUUUCAAGGGGAGCGUAUCUGCACUUUAUUGUGUGGUGCGGGAUCCUUGACUUUUACUUUGAGGAAAUAGGAGUGUUCCGAGCAGGCUCUCGUCGUGCACAGCUCAGCAUGGAAUAAUAGCAUUGGACCUCGAUUCUAAGCUGUUGGUUGCCAGAAGCGAGGUAAUGAUGAAGAGGGAUAGUUGGGGGCAUUCGUAUUUAACUGUCAUAGGUGAAAUUCUUGGAUUUGUUAAAGACGGACUACUGCGAAAGCAUCUGCCAUGGAUGUUUUCAUUGA